Molecule: unclassified non-coding RNA, 4843 nt
Filed under: Hevea brasiliensis (rubber tree)
Lineage: Eukaryota; Viridiplantae; Streptophyta; Magnoliopsida; Malpighiales; Euphorbiaceae
Source: RNAcentral
UUAUAUAAACACAAAAUACAUAUUUAAUUAUUAAAUUAAAAAAAUUAAAAUUAAAAAUCAAUUUAGAAGAGUCAAUUGACUCAUUUUCCAUCUUGAUUUAUCGAUAAAAAAAUCAAUUAAUCCCUUACAUUUUUAAUGAUUAUUUGACAAAUCAAUAGUAAUAACUACCAAUUCAAUGUAAAAGGAUAAACCGGAAGGAAUAAGAAAGAUUCAAAGCCAAAAGAAUGUUAUGUGGCCUAAAAGCCAAAAUGCAGAAACAUGGUAGCCAUCAAUUCUAGCAACAAUACGCCAUUGAAACCAUGCAUCAGGAAGAAUGCUGGUUUAUAUUCCAGCCUCAAAAUCUUUCACCGCUUUUUCUUUGGUUUUAAUUUUAAAUGUCUUGAACACAACAUAUAUUAAAAUGAUUUGUAUUGAAGGAAAUUAUUAUUUGGGCAAGUUAGCUGUUUGAGUACUAAGUAAUGCCCUCCCUUUGCAGAAUAUAGUCCACUGCCUCUGCAACGGUAUCCACCACCUGCAAAGUUGAAAGCGAAACAUAUUCAGAUAAUAAUAACAAUAAUAAUGUGAUUUCCCCAACCCUCAUUGAUUGUUUAGAGGAAAAAGGCAUAUGCAUGUGUACAUGCUUGUCUUCUUUUGUAUUGUCAAAUGAUAUAUUUGGCAUGCAUAUUGAAAAAUUCAUCAUUUAACUUGCCAGAUCUGCAGGAAACUCUGCAUGGUUACUUUCCCCUCGAAAAACGCCUGUCCUCGUCAAGAUAGAAAACCAAGGAUUUCCAGCCUGAAAGUAAAAUAAGAUAAUACUCUUUUAUUUACUAAAGAAAAUCAGAGAUUAUUUACUGCCUAUGAUAAUUAAAAUGAUCUGAAUAGCUUAUAGGCUCAAUCAGUCAAAAGCCACAAUUACAACAAAUAGGCACGGCGAACCUGAUGGGCACCUUUGACGUCAACAGAAGGAUUGUCACCAAUCAUAUAAAGGGUUUUCAAAGGAGGUGAUCCAGGUCCUCCACAUUCCUUGAAAUUAGAUUCAAUAUGACAACACAGCUGAAGCUGGCUUAAUAUAGCUUCAGCGUUCUUGAAUACAAAUGGAAUUGGUUUCCCAAAAGAUACAUACUCUAGAGCAUUGUGGUGGAUUCUGAAAGCAAUGACAAACAUAAAAGAUCUUAGCGUAGAAACCACUGAUAGUGUAGCAAGUAACAAGAUAGCUUGCAACAGGUUAGGCUCUAAAAUAUUGAACUCAAACCAAACCAAUAAUGUCUCGGUAAUGUAAGCUUUUCAGGUUAAUAACUCUCACAGCACUUUCAAGUUCAACUAUACUGUUCCACCCACAGCUAUAUGAAAAGAACUGUUUCAUCAUAUGUAAUAUCAAUCAGUGCUACACAACAAAUAUUCAAUCUGUACAAUCACAAAAUCUACCAUGCAAAAUCAAAAGAUAAACAUUCAACCAUAGUAUCCCAAGCAUAAUCUCCAUCGUCAAAGAAAAUUCCAAUCAUAAAUUAAAAAUAAUAAUAAACAGCCAAGGGCCCAAGGUUCAGAUUUGGACUGUUUUGGCUAAAAAAUCAAAAGGAUAAAAAGAUAUUUGACUGGAGAGAGGAGAAAGAAUAAACUACUGCCUAUGUAAACAAUCUAGAUCUCAAGAAGUAGAAUAGAGGAUAAGAAAAAUAAGAGGAGAAAAAAUUAAGUGAAACAGUCAGUGAAGAAUGCGAGGCAUUCUGCAUGGAAGUGGAAAUUAAUCUGGAUGGGAAAGUACUAGGUAUAAUAAACAAAUGAACAGAAGUUAAUGGGCUAACCUUUGCAUAGAAAACAUCAAUUCUGAUGAAAGGAAAGCAUAAAAAAAAAAAAAAGUGUUGUCUAAGAUUUGUAUUGGGAAUUCAAGUCACAAACAAAGCAGUUACUCCAGUUGCUAAAUGCAAGCUAAACAUAUGCUACCUAUUCUCUUAACUUUUCAAGUUCAAAUGGUUUUUCUAUGUACUUCUUGAAAAUUACCUAUUUCUCUUUCCAAAAUAAUCUCCAAAUUAUGAAAUAAAGAAAGGACAUAAUACUAAGGAAGCAAUCUGAAAGCACAACUUUAAACAACACUAAGCUUUUAGCACUUUCUGAGGUCAUUUAGACAUGAAACACCAAGUAUUGGUGUAUCUAUGAACCACUCAGGCUGAUAAAAUCCUAAUUAGGGCAAAAAAGAGGACAUUAAAUAAUUUAAAUUGCAUGAGCACUAACCUUACCUGUUGAAGACACUCUCCAGAGCAAUUCUGAAAGCACCCAUUCCAAGACGCUGAGAAGGAAAUGCAGCCUGAUAUUCAAGAUCAUCAGCAGCAAAAUAUAACGGGGGUUGAUGCCCAUUCUCCUGUCCAGGAAGGCCUCCAGAUCUUAAAACAUCACUGAGAACCUGAAUAUCCCUGCCCCAAUCUACAGGAUCACUGACAAUAAAUACUGCUUUAACUGCUUCAGAAGAAACAUUGCAUCUUGGUGUCAUAUUGAGAGAGAGACUACCCUUAGUCCUAUUUGAUACCUGCUCAGUUGUCCAUCUCUUGUAUUGAGACACAGGAUCAAUAUUCUCAAAGAAAGAGGCAUACUCUUCUAAAGAGAGAACCUUUUUGAAACCAUACUCAGACAUAACUAGAGCAGGUUCCCCUUUUCCAGUGGCAAUAAUGAGUUGAUUCUCAUAUCUGGGGAAAAUAUUUGAAAGUCAGUUAGGUAUAAUAAAUAAUUAUGACAAAAAUAAUUGUUAUGCUACAAAAAAGAAAUCUUGUUGUCAAAUAAAUUUCCUCAUGAAACCACAAAAGAAUAUUAUUCCCACAACACAACCUUCACAGGCAUAUUCUAUGAAGUAUAUCCAAGUAUUCCAUAAGUGCAUCAAGAUAGGAAUAAAGUAAUGAAUACACCUGAAAAACUUUGGGGGAAUCAAUAGGACCUCUUUUCCCCCUUGGAUGAUUAAUUAAAAUUUGGCUACCAUUUCUUUGGUCCCAACUCCCAAUAUUCAUAUUUUUUGUUGUAAUCAUAAAAUAAAGUGCACACGGAAUGGAAAGUAUAGCUAUCUUUAAGAAUGAAACAAAUUUAUUUAGCAUGUGAGAAUCCACCAAACUCAAUCUGGUCUACAUCUAAAGACAAAAUGACCCUAAACAGUCCCACCUUCACCUCUUGUGCUGCUGAAGGGCACACUCUAUUCUAACAACUUUCCAAUGAUGAGGUGUGGUUAAUAUAUUAUUAUAUUCAUAUUAACAUAUAAUUUAAGAAAUAUUGAGAUUAACAGGAUCAAAUUUAAGAAUAUAAUGAAAAUAUAGUCCACAAGAAAUGAAAAUGUCAAAAUUAUGUUUAGGACGGAUAUACUAUUUUCAAAUUGAAGAUGUAUAAAUACAAAAAUAAAAAAAGCAGCAAAUCAACAUAUAUAUAUAUAUAUAUGUACCUCUUCAACAGAUUUUUAAAAGGUGAGUGACCCUGUAAAACCUGUGUGAGGAAAAAAAGAACAGCUAUGCCAGAGGUUCCAUCAGUCAAAUCUCAAAUGGUGCCAAAGGUAAAGUUCAUUGUGUACAAUAUCUUUCAGCAGUACCUGAGAAGGUAAAAUCUUUACACCCAGAAUUUCACUCAACUCAAUGGCUCGUCUAGAUUCUGGAAUGCCACCUCCUAAUCAAACAGAACUACAUGGCAUUAGUCAUUUCAUUGCUUAGUUGUGUAUCCUGGCUUUCAAAAGUCAAGAGUAUCAUGAAAUAUGCAAUGUUCCAGGAACAAAUAUCAUAGAAAGAACCAUCUGGAAAAAGGUUGGUGCAGGAACAUAGGUUUGAUCCAUACAUAGUGCCAUUCUGAUAUCCAUAAUUCAUUCCACUUGUCAUGAUCAAUAUGAACAAGUAUUUAUAUAAUGGAAUCAAUAUUUUUCCUUUGGUCAUAUAUCCAUACCAUUCUCUCGAGAAACUGCAAAUUGACUAUUAAAGUUUAAUAUUCUAAGCAACUCACCAUUUGUCAAGAACAAAAAGGGAACCUUCAAAGACCCUGUAAAGAUGAAGUAAUCAUCAAACUUAGUUGUAACAAACAAGGAUAAGGCAAGUUGGUAGAGGUUAUCUCUAAUUACCACAAAGAAUUGGGGGAAAAAAAAAGGACCCCAUAAACCAGGAUGAAGUUCCUUUCCUUCCUAUAUCCAAAUAUCACCUUAAUUACCCAAAUUCAGUGUUGAUCCUUCUAUCUGCCACAACAUUUUCACAGAAAUAAAAAAUAGACAUUCUGAAGAUCAAUCUAUCGGAUUCUUUUGUUUAGGAACUCAAACAAUAACGUCUGCUGAACUUUAGUUCAGAGUAAAGAUUACCAUAGUCAAGUUGAUUUCUCAAUUUGAAACCAAUAUUUAUUAAAGAUAAACUGAAACUACAACCUAAUUUAUCCCUUUCAAUUCCUCAAAAUUCUCUCCAACCACAUCCACACUAGUAGAAGUAGUGAAUCUGAAUCAUCUAUAUGAGUGUGUCUUUCUAUCUACAGAAAGAACAUGUAAAUACCAGAGUCUUCAUAUAAUCUCCUUAAAGCUUGAGGAGAGCCACCAAUGGGAACACGCCCACGAAGAAUAACCCCAUCAAUGUCGAACACGAUUCCAAAAGAAGAACACCUGCAAUCACUAAAAAAGUUCCAACUCUAACCUCCGCUUAAUUGAAAUAUAAAAUUAUAAUCGGUGCGAAUAAGAAAAACGAAUUGCAAAGAAUCAAAAGAACCGUUUUUCUUGCUGCUGCUUUGAUUGAAGCUGGCAGAAGGAACGAGAAGCUUGAGAUUGAAACAGAAAUGGCGGUCUAUUCUUGAUUUGGGAAACCCUAAACGCCAAUCUUCUCUGAAAUCUCAUCUCUACCUUUUCGUGUGGUGUAGUUUUGAAGGAAAGAGCUUG